CGGCUUGAUGAUGAUGAUCUUGUGUCCUAUAUCCUUACAGGGCUUGAUGCUGAGUACAAUCCACUAAUUGAAGCUAUUAGUGCAAAAGUUGAUGCAGUUAGCUUGAGCGAUCUGUAUGCUCAGCUAUUGUCCACUAAAGC
This is a small nucleolar RNA of Phragmites australis (common reed), 140 nucleotides long. RefSeq annotates it as small nucleolar RNA Z247. Lineage: Eukaryota; Viridiplantae; Streptophyta; Magnoliopsida; Poales; Poaceae. The record is from RefSeq and is a predicted model, not a curated record. The transcript has a single exon.